UCCGGCUUAUCACCGGCAGUCUGCUCAGGGUUCCAAACUAAAUGUUGGCAACUAAACACGAGGGUUGCGCUCGUUGCGGGACUUAACCCAACACCUUACGGCACGAGCUGACGACAGCCAUACACCACCUGUGUCCGCGUUCCCGAAGGCACCCCUCUCUUUCAAGAGGAUUCGCGGCAUGUCAAGCCCUGGUAAGGUUCUACGCUUUGCAUCGAAUUAAACCACAUGCUCCACCGCUUGUGCGGGCCCCCGUCAAUUCCUUUGAGUUUCAAUCUUGCGACCGUACUCCCCAGGUGGAUUACUUAUCACUUUCGCUUAGACACUGACCGUAUAUCGCCAAUAUCGAGUAAUCAACGUUUAGGGCAUGGACUAC
RNAcentral lists this unclassified non-coding RNA (373 nucleotides) under uncultured bacterium. RNAcentral describes it as "contains 16S-23S intergenic spacer region". The record is from RNAcentral.